AGUCGAACGAGAAUCUGUGGAAAGAGGAUUCGUCCAAUUGAAGCAGAGGACAGUGGCGGACGGGUGAGUAACGCGUGAGGAACCUGCCUUUCAGAGGGGGACAACAGUUGGAAACGACUGCUAAUACCGCAUGACGCAUAGGGGUCGCAUGAUCUUUAUGCCAAAGAUUUAUCGCUUCAAGAUGGCCUCGCGUCUGAUUAGCUAGUUGGCGGGGUAACGGCCCACCAAGGCGACGAUCAGUAGCCGGACUGAGAGGUUGAACGGCCACAUUGGGACUGAGAUACGGCCCAGACUCCUACGGGAGGCAGCAGUGGGGAAUAUUGGGCAAUGGGCGCAAGCCUGACCCAGCAACGCCGCGUGAAGGAAGAAGGCUUUCGGGUUGUAAACUUCUUUUAAGAGGGAAGAGCAGAAGACGGUACCUCUAGAAUAAGCCACGGCUAACUACGUGCCAGCAGCCGCGGUAAUACGUAGGUGGCAAGCGUUGUCCGGAUUUACUGGGUGUAAAGGGCGUGUAGCCGGGUCUGCAAGUCAGAUGUGAAAUCCAUGGGCUCAACCCAUGAACUGCAUUUGAAACUGUAGAUCUUGAGUGUCGGAGGGGCAAUCGGAAUUCCUAGUGUAGCGGUGAAAUGCGUAGAUAUUAGGAGGAACACCAGUGGCGAAGGCGGAUUGCUGGACGAUAACUGACGGUGAGGCGCGAAAGUGUGGGGAGCAAACAGGAUUAGAUACCCUGGUAGUCCACACUGUAAACGAUGAAUACUAGGUGUGCGGGGACUGACCCCCUGCGUGCCGCAGUAAACACAAUAAGUAUUCCACCUGGGGAGUACGAUCGCAAGGUUG
RNAcentral lists this ribosomal RNA (837 nucleotides) under uncultured bacterium. RNAcentral's name for it is "bacterial SSU rRNA". It matches the Rfam family "Bacterial small subunit ribosomal RNA", at positions 60 to 896 of the family's 1533-position model. The record is from RNAcentral.